RNAcentral lists this ribosomal RNA (447 nucleotides) under uncultured bacterium. RNAcentral's name for it is "bacterial SSU rRNA". It matches the Rfam family "Bacterial small subunit ribosomal RNA", at positions 355 to 825 of the family's 1533-position model. The record is from RNAcentral.
UCGGGAAUUUUGGGCAAUGGGCGAAAGCCUGACCCAGCAACGCCGCGUGAAGGAUGAAGUCUCUCGGGAUGUAAACUUCGUAAGAAUAGGAAGAAUAAAUGACGGUACUAUUUGUAAGGUCCGGCUAACUACGUGCCAGCAGCCGCGGUAAUACGUAGGGACCAAGCGUUGUUCGGAUUUACUGGGCGUAAAGGGCGCGUAGGCGGCGUGGUAAGUCACUUGUGAAAUCUCCGAGCUUAACUCGGAACGGUCAAGUGAUACUGCUGUGCUAGAGUACAGAAGGGGCAAUCGGAAUUCUUGGUGUAGCGGUGAAAUGCGUAGAUAUCAAGAGGAACACCUGAGGUGAAGACGGGUUGCUGGGCUGACACUGACGCUGAGGCGCGAAAGCCAGGGGAGCAAACGGGAUUAGAUACCCCCGUAGUCCCUGAGCGGGCUGGCAAGGCGCAU